CAUGUAGGCGGCUUAAUAAGUCGAGCGUGAAAAUGCGGGGCUCAACCCCGUAUGGCGCUGGAAACUGUUAGGCUUGAGUGCAGGAGAGGAAAGGGGAAUUCCCAGUGUAGCGGUGAAAUGCGUAGAUAUUGGGAGGAACACCAGUGACGAAGGCGCCUUUCUGGACUGUGUCUGACGCUGAGAUGCGAAAGCCAGGGUAGCAACG
This 205-nucleotide ribosomal RNA is filed under the name uncultured bacterium. RNAcentral describes it as "partial 16S ribosomal RNA". It matches the Rfam family "Bacterial small subunit ribosomal RNA", at positions 568 to 773 of the family's 1533-position model. The record is from RNAcentral.